RNAcentral lists this unclassified non-coding RNA (256 nucleotides) under fungal sp. RNAcentral describes it as "partial contains 5.8S ribosomal RNA, internal transcribed spacer 2, and large subunit ribosomal RNA". The record is from RNAcentral. Lineage: Eukaryota; Fungi.
CGCACAUUGCGCCCAUUAGUAUUCUAGUGGGCAUGCCUGUUCGAGCGUCAUUAAGUCCAUUAAGCCUAGCUGCUUAGCGUUGGGAGCCUGCGCGGCGCGAGCCCGCAGCUCCUCAAAAUCAGUGGCGGAGUCGGCGUACACUCUAGGCGUAGUAGUUUUCAACUCGCUUCAGUGGUGGCGCGGUCCCCUGCCGUAAAACACCCAAAAUCUUUAAAGGUUUGACCUCGGAUCAGGUAGGAAUACCCGCUGAACUUAA